GGUCCAAAACGAGAGGUUUUUGAAUAAUAUGGAUGCCAUAUAAUAAACGAGAGAUUUCGAAAACCCAACUCCUCCGCAAAGGUUAAAGUCUGUAAGCAUACUCUCGUUUCAGCCGUGACUGCCACCUUUAAGCAUUCAGAAAACAGCCUCAGCACCGUCUCUCAGUACAGAUUUCGGCGAUCUUCCUCAACUUCUGGUUCUGCAAAGUCUGGCACACCUCCAAUAAGAUAAGUAUCCCUUCCCCUUUUCAGACAUUCUGUUGCCAAACAAUGUGUCGUUUCAUUCCCCUUUCUUGAAACAUGCUUAAACAUGCGUUUCAUGAAAAUCUGACUUAGGGUUUUGACUCUUCAAUGUAUGCACUAGUAACUGAUCCAUCUCUUAUUUUGUAUCCAGAAGUCUUUUAACCACUGAGCGCAUCCCCUUCAAUUAUAACCUCUUGGAGCUUCAGAUCUAGCCUAUUCCGAACUGCUUUAAGGCAUGCAAGGGCUUCUGCCGCAAACUCGGAUCCGUGUCCCGGAGGAAUCCAUCUCACCUCUACUCGAGUUAUGUUUGCAGACGACCUGUUCUUUAGAGCGUCGAGCUCACCAACGGCAUUCCCAGAACAAGUGCUCUAUCGUUUCUGAAUCGCUCGAACAUCUCGGACAGAUCGGGACCCCAUCAAGAGUUUGUUAUACAAAUUAUAGAAAUUAGGGAUAAAUUUACAAAAUAUUCGCCAAUUUGUAAUUUUAAUCUUUUCUGGCAGAUUUAGCCUCCAUAAUUUCUUGUAAAAAAGACUGUAAGAGCUUUGAUAUUCAGUAGACUUUCUAGGGAUUCCUGCUGUAAUAACAUCCUAUACCCACUUUUACCCGAGUA
This is a long non-coding RNA of Gossypium raimondii (Peruvian cotton), 852 nucleotides long. RefSeq lists it as uncharacterized. The transcript is spliced from 3 exons. The record is from RefSeq and is a predicted model, not a curated record. NCBI's taxonomy places the organism in Eukaryota, Viridiplantae, Streptophyta, Magnoliopsida, Malvales, Malvaceae.